Molecule: long non-coding RNA, 101 nt
Organism: Sebastes umbrosus (honeycomb rockfish)
Lineage: Eukaryota; Metazoa; Chordata; Actinopteri; Perciformes; Sebastidae
Exons: 3
Source: RefSeq, a predicted model, not a curated record
UGUGUUUGAUUUGUUUUUUUUUGAUUCUACAGUUAUGAUGGUUUUUAUUGGCAUUUUCCAAGGUAUUAUUUUACAGUGAUGGUCACAGUCUGGAAAGGUAA